Molecule: ribosomal RNA, 164 nt
Filed under: uncultured bacterium
Lineage: Bacteria
Description: partial 16S rRNA
Rfam family: Bacterial small subunit ribosomal RNA
Source: RNAcentral
UAGGGAAUCUUCCACAAUGGGCGAAAGCCUGAUGGAGCAACGCCGCGUGUGUGAUGAAGGCUUUCGGGUCGUAAAGCACUGUUGUAUGGGAAGAACAGCUAGGAUAGGAAAUGAUUUUAGUUUGACGGUACAAUACCAGAAAGGGACGGCUAAAUACGUGUCAG